GCCGGGGUCGCCUAGCCUGGCCAGGGCGCCGGACUCAUAAUCCGGUUUUACCCGGGUUCAAAUCCCGGCCCCGGCA
This 76-nucleotide transfer RNA is filed under the name Thermoprotei archaeon. Its description in RNAcentral is "tRNA-Met". It matches the Rfam family "tRNA". From Rfam's summary of the family: Transfer RNA (tRNA) molecules are approximately 80 nucleotides in length. Their secondary structure includes four short double-helical elements and three loops (D, anti-codon, and T loops). The record is from RNAcentral. Lineage: Archaea; Thermoproteati; Thermoproteota; Thermoprotei.